This 253-nucleotide ribosomal RNA is filed under the name uncultured bacterium. Its description in RNAcentral is "partial 16S ribosomal RNA". It matches the Rfam family "Bacterial small subunit ribosomal RNA", at positions 524 to 776 of the family's 1533-position model. The record is from RNAcentral.
UACGUAGGGACCGAGCGUUGUCCGGAAUCAUUGGGCGUAAAGAGCGUGUAGGCGGCUUGUUAAGUCUUGCGUGAAAUCUCGGGGCUCAACCCCGAGCGGUCGUGAGAAACUGGCAGGCUAGAGUGCGGGAGAGGAGAGUGGAAUUCCUGGUGUAGCGGUGAAAUGCGCAGAUAUCGGGAAGAACACCCGUGGCGAAGGCGGUUCUCUGGGACGGUACUGACGCUGAGACGCGAAAGCGUGGGGAGCGAACAGG